This 341-nucleotide unclassified non-coding RNA is filed under the name soil metagenome. RNAcentral describes it as "partial contains 5.8S ribosomal RNA, internal transcribed spacer 2, and large subunit ribosomal RNA". The stretch from base 1 to 120 matches the Rfam family "5.8S ribosomal RNA", at positions 35 to 154 of the family's 154-position model. The record is from RNAcentral.
GAUGAAGAACGCAGAGAAAUGCGAUAAGUAGUGUGAAUUGCAGAAUUCAGUGAAUCAUCGAAUCUUUGAACGCACAUUGCGCCCCUUGGUAUUCCAUGGGGCAUGCCUGUUCGAGCGUCAUUUGUACCCUCAAGCCCCCGGGUUUGGUGUUGGGGAUCGGGCUGUACUCCAGCCCGGCCCCGAAAGCUAGUGGCGGUCUCGCUGCAGCCUCCAUUGCGUAGUAGCUAACACCUCGCAACUGGAACGCGGCGCGGACAAGCCGUUAAACCCCCAACUUCUGAAUGUUGACCUCGGAUCAGGUAGGAAUACCCGCUGAACUUAAGCAUAUCAAUAAGCGGGGA